Molecule: long non-coding RNA, 380 nt
Filed under: Homo sapiens (human)
Lineage: Eukaryota; Metazoa; Chordata; Mammalia; Primates; Hominidae
Description: HSALNT0115746
Source: RNAcentral
CAGGAAGGAGCACAGCUUUGGGAACUGAGGGAGCCUGAGCAGGGAAGCCACGCACCCUGUCACACUUCAAUGGCACAUCUCAGGCACAUAUGGUUUGUGACUCUCCGGCCUUCUCCAUACAUGUCUGCUCUUACGUACAGAGGCCCUGUCUGUCUCUAGGAGAAAACAUCAUGCUAUUUUUUACAAAAGGGCAGAAGAAACCUUCUCAAGUGACGCUAGUUACCGUCAUUCCGUGGAUCUGGAAACAGCUUCCUCCACUUUACCAAUGGUUUUCUGUACCUAGAAUUAGCUCCUGCCUCCUUUUGGCUUGGUGAGAACCUGGCCCCAGAAUCUUAAUCACAUCAUCGCCAGGAUUCCCAAACUGCAUGCCGAGGUGCACU